GACCGACUAAUCGACAUUGCUAUUUGAAUUAAUAAAAGAAGUUCUGUAGGUACCCAGGAAAGAAAGCAAGCAAGCAAUGGGGUUUCGAUUUGGAACAACACUCUUCUUAUGUUUUCUCUUUUUUUCUUCUGCUACAUUAUGUUAUGCUCGUCAUAUCACUGUGUUCUCAGAGAACAAGAAAUUAGUGUCAACAGAAAUAAACUCAUUUAACGCGAACGAUUAUGAAGAACCAGGACCGAAUCCCGGUCAUAAUCUAUCGCCACCUCCCCCUGCGUUGGAUCAGAUGAAUUCAGUUUAUAAAAAUGAAUGAUGAAGAAAAUGAUCCACCACUGUCUCCUGCUUAAUGGGAAUUACGAUAAGUUUAUAUAUUAUAAUCUAUAGAUAUUUGUAUUUUAAUUGCUUUAUUGUAAUUUUCUAAUGUUUUGAAUUUACGUUAUCAUCAACCUGCCUGGUGAGAAAUAUUUUAUGUACUUCAAUUGAAAGAUAAAUAAAAAUACUCUGUGAUCCA
This is a long non-coding RNA of Carica papaya (papaya), 508 nucleotides long. RefSeq lists it as uncharacterized. NCBI's taxonomy places the organism in Eukaryota, Viridiplantae, Streptophyta, Magnoliopsida, Brassicales, Caricaceae. The record is from RefSeq and is a predicted model, not a curated record.